CCCAAGAUGCCGAAAGGGAAGAAGGCGAAGGGGAAGAAGGUGGCCCGACCCCUGCUGUCGUGAAGAAGCAGGAGGCCAAGAAGGUGGUCAAUCCCCUGUUCGAGAAGAGGCCCAAGAAUUUUGGCAUCGGACAGGACAUCCAGCCCAAAAGGGACCUCACCCACUUUGUCAAAUGGCCCCGCUACAUCUGGCUGCCAACGGCAAAGGGCUAUUCUCUAUAAACGUCUAAAAGUGCCUCCUGCAAUUAACCAGUUCACCCAGGCCUUGGACCGCCAGACAGCUACUCAACUGCUUAAGCUGGCCCACAAGUACAGACCAGAGACAAAGCAGGAGAAGAAGCAGAGAUUGUUGGCCCGGGCUGAGAAGAAAGCUGCAGGCAAAGGGGAUGUCCCCACUAAGAGGCUACCUGUCCUUCCAGCUGGGGUUAACACUGUCACCACCCUGGUGGAAAACAAGAAGGCUCAGCUGGUAGUGAUUGCACAUGCUGUGGAUCCCAUUGAGCUGGUGGUUUUCCUGCCUGCCCUGUGCCGUAAGAUGGGGGUUCCCUACUGCAUUAUCAAGGGGAAGGCCAGGCUGGGCCGUCUGGUCCACAGGAAGACCUGCACCACUGUCGCCUUCACACAGGUCAACCCGGAAGACAAAGGAGCCCUGGCAAAGCUGGUGGAGGCCAUCAGGACCAACUACAAUGACAGAUACGACGAGAUCCGCCGCCACUGGGGAGGCAACGUCUUGGGCCCAAAGUCUGUGGCUCGCAUCGCCAAGCUGGAAAAGGCAAAGGCUAAAGAACUGGCCACCAAACUGGGCUGAGUGGAUGCUGUUGAAUUUUCUGUACAUAAAAGUAAUAAAACGUUGUGUUUCA
This is a non-coding RNA of Callorhinus ursinus (northern fur seal), 859 nucleotides long. The record is from RefSeq and is a predicted model, not a curated record. Lineage: Eukaryota; Metazoa; Chordata; Mammalia; Carnivora; Otariidae.